Molecule: unclassified non-coding RNA, 387 nt
Filed under: uncultured fungus
Lineage: Eukaryota; Fungi
Description: partial contains small subunit ribosomal RNA, internal transcribed spacer 1, and 5.8S ribosomal RNA
Rfam family: Eukaryotic small subunit ribosomal RNA (bases 1-73)
Source: RNAcentral
GCAAACUUGGUCAUUUAGAGGAAGUAAAAGUCGUAACAAGGUUUCCGUAGGUGAACCUGCGGAAGGAUCAUUAAUGAGAUUUUGAAAUCGGGGUCUGCUGCUGGUGUGGAAACGCACAUGUGCACGGCUCCGUGCUCAAUCCACUCAACACCUGUGCACUUUGUCGAAGCGAGUAAGCUCUUUGUUGGGUCGAUCUAGUAGCCUGUAAAGCGAAGGCACGUCUGUGUUGGUAGCUCGAACGCGCGAACGUCAACCUUUUCGGAGGGCUGAAAAACUUUGAAUUACAAACGAUUUGUAUGUCUUGUGAACGUGUUGCUCCUUGUGGGCGAAAUAAAUACAACUUUCAACAACGGAUCUCUUGGCUCUCGCAUCGAUGAAGAACGCAGC